Molecule: unclassified non-coding RNA, 906 nt
Filed under: Hevea brasiliensis (rubber tree)
Lineage: Eukaryota; Viridiplantae; Streptophyta; Magnoliopsida; Malpighiales; Euphorbiaceae
Source: RNAcentral
GUUGUUGUUUUAUUUUUUUUUUUUAAAUGAAGCUAUGAUCUUAUUUAGGAUACUAAGAUGUUUAUAAGGAAAAAAGGGAGUCUUUGUUAUGUAUGAAUUUUUUAAAUUUGUUUUAUUGUUUCUGUUAUGCUCGUGUAACUGAACGUAUAAUGAAUUCUGGAUAUGCUGUAGUCAUUUGCUUUUGGUGAUUGAAUGUACUAAAAAUUGUAGGUUUGAGAUUCAGGAGAUUCCAACUCAUAAGGUUAAAUCUAUAUUUCUGUGUUGACGUACUCAAUUCUUAGUUCAUGCAUCGUAAGGAGAGGAAUUCGGUUAGCAGCUUUUUACAGUUACUAGACUAUAUAGUUUAGAACUGUGAUUUCAUGAGCUCAUGUGAUUUUGUUGGGAUAAUAGCUGGCCAAAAGGCUAAUAAUGCAAUUCUUGCUUUUAAUUGAAAAGUAGAAAGUCCUCAACAUUAGGGGUGCUUAAUAGAAUACGAUGAAACAUUGCAGAAUAUCCUUUUCAUACCAAGGACUUCACCUACAAUGAUUGUGAUUCAUGGUAGUUGAUGCAAGUUUAGUGAGGAAAAACAUGAUUUCUUAUCAGAUAAAAGUUUCCUUAUUUUAAUUUAGAUAUUUUUGAAUGUCUUUUUCCGUUUAUACAGUUGUGCGACCUUCUCAAAUCUAGAGUUGAAUGCCCUGACUUCCUUGAAAAGCUAGAGUGUGCUCACGUGUCGGUUCCACAAAAUAUUUCUGGUAUGAACCUGAAGAUGGCAACUGUUGUACUUCAUAUGCAGAUGUUUAUUUUUUACUUGUUACUUGAUAUAUUGUUUGCUGCUUGGGCUUUUCAUUCAUGUCUAGAAGUGAAACUUUAAAGAAUUUGUUGUUUGGACCUAGAAUGGACUGUUGCUAACAGAGUUAUUAUAUGGUA